RNAcentral lists this ribosomal RNA (507 nucleotides) under uncultured bacterium. RNAcentral's name for it is "partial 16S ribosomal RNA". It matches the Rfam family "Bacterial small subunit ribosomal RNA", at positions 28 to 507 of the family's 1533-position model. The record is from RNAcentral.
GACGAACGCUGGCGGCGUGCCUAAUACAUGCAAGUCGAACGCAUUUUCUUUCACCGUAGCUUGCUACACCGAAAGAAAAUGAGUGGCGAACGGGUGAGUAACACGUGGGUAACCUGCCCAUCAGCGGGGGAUAACACUUGGAAACAGGUGCUAAUACCGCAUAAUUCCAUUUACCGCAUGGUAAAUGGAUGAAAGGCGCUUUUGCGUCACUGAUGGAUGGACCGGCGGUGCAUUAGCUAGUUGGUGGGGUAACGGCCUACCAAGGCUGCGAUGCAUAGCCGACCUGAGAGGGUGAUCGGCCACACUGGGACUGAGACACGGCCCAGACUCCUACGGGAGGCAGCAGUAGGGAAUCUUCGGCAAUGGACGCAAGUCUGACCGAGCAACGCCGCGUGAUUGAAGAAGGUUUUCGGAUCGUAAAACUCUGUUGUUAGAGAAGAACAAGGAUGAGAGUGGAAAGUUCAUCCCUUGACGGUAUCUAACCAGAAAGCCACGGCUAACUACGUG